This 492-nucleotide ribosomal RNA is filed under the name uncultured bacterium. RNAcentral describes it as "partial 16S ribosomal RNA". It matches the Rfam family "Bacterial small subunit ribosomal RNA", at positions 29 to 507 of the family's 1533-position model. The record is from RNAcentral.
AGUGAACGCUGGCGGUAGGCCUAACACAUGCAAGUCGAACGGCAGCACAGUAAGAGCUUGCUCUUACGGGUGGCGAGUGGCGGACGGGUGAGGAAUACAUCGGAAUCUACUUUUUCGUGGGGGAUAACGUAGGGAAACUUACGCUAAUACCGCAUACGACCUACGGGUGAAAGCAGGGGAUCUUCGGACCUUGCGCGAUUGAAUGAGCCGAUGUCGGAUUAGCUAGUUGGCGGGGUAAAGGCCCACCAAGGCGACGAUCCGUAGCUGGUCUGAGAGGAUGAUCGGCCACACUGGAGCCGAGACACGGUCCAGACUCCUACGGGAGGCAGCAGUGGGGAAUAUUGGACAAUGGGCGCAAGCCUGAUCCAGCCAUACCGCGUGGGUGAAGAAGGCCUUCGGGUUGUAAAGCCCUUUUGUUGGGAAAGAAAAGCAGCAGGUUAAUACCCCGCUGUUCUGACGGUACCCAAAGAAUAAGCACCGGCUAACUUCGUG